Long non-coding RNA from Solea senegalensis (Senegalese sole), 1324 nucleotides. RefSeq lists it as uncharacterized. The transcript has 5 exons. Lineage: Eukaryota; Metazoa; Chordata; Actinopteri; Pleuronectiformes; Soleidae. The record is from RefSeq and is a predicted model, not a curated record.
GCAAAACACUGACGUUCCGUGGGGCUGCACCUGGACAGCAAGACGAGGAGGACAAUUGAUGACUAAUGGCAUGAAUGCCAACAAUUGGACGCACACAUGGAUGGAUAAGCAGAUUGACCCUGUGACGAGCACAGGUGGGACAUGUCCUUUUGCCCUCUGACCAGAAUGAGCAACUGUGGUCAGUGAUCAGCAGUUAACACCUGGAGGCAGCGAAAAUAAGUGGGCUCGCAGUAAUCCCUUACAUCAACUGUUUUCUUCCAUCCGUUGGCAACAGAGAGUCAUUCUGACAUGGUAAAUGUUGAAUGACACGUGUGACGAUGUAAUGUCGGACCUUCCACUCACUCACGCGGAGCCAGCAGGAGGAGACACCGAGGAGGACGAGGAGCAGCGGGUACAAACAUUUGCUCACAUUUACUGAACAACGGACGGGUGCUGACGCCCGACUGUCCCAAGGCCGUUGACGCCAAAAAAGCUCCAAAAACCUCUCAAGUGCCUUAAUUCCAGUAACAACAGACAAAGAAAAAAAAACACUCUUCACAUCAAUCGCAACAACCACCAUCUACCCACAAAGGAACAGGAGUCACACCCACAACAUCAGGUCACCUCCAGGGGGGCGAGAGCGCACCGACAGAGGAGCAGAAAGGUCAGGACUUGCCGAGGCUCGACAACUUCUCCCUGAAGUCUGUGGAAACCAGAGGCAGACUGUUUUUAUUUUUACUAUUUUUUUUUAAUCAUGGGAAUCGACUCCAAUGACAGGGAAGGAAACGAAAUAAUAUCAUGAAUCAUGAUUUAUGAUAAAGACGAAGACCAGAAAACUGUAAACUUGAAACUCAAACUGUGUUUUUUUUUUCCCUUUGGGAUCGCUGUGAAUUAGCAAAAACAAAAAACACUGUACCACAAUCAAGAUUGUUUGGAAACGGAACAGUAUUUGCUACACGAACAGCGUUCAAGAGACAACAAUCUUACUAGAUAUCAACAAGUGGCAGCACGGGCGAGAGCUGUUGCCAAGCACUGUGAAGAUAUGAGGAAAAAUAUUUGUAUUCAUGAAUUAAAAGUAAAAAAAAAAAGAAUCUAUACUGUGAAAAUACUAAAUAUGUAUAUUCCAUGACAAACUAAAUAACUCUAGCUGUACAUAGGAGACAACUGUAUAACAUGCUUGCUUUUUAAAAGCUGUACAUAACAAAUACUUUUUUUGUUUUGUAACAAAUACUUUUUUUGCUUUGUUUGUUGUUCACUAGCAGAAAAUGUAAUAUAUUACCCAUAACUUUGUUUGUAUUACUCUAAUAUCACUUUAAAAUUAAAUACAAAAUGUUUGGUUUUUGUA